ACUCCUACGGGAGGCAGCAGUGGGGAAUAUUGGACAAUGGGGGAAACCCGUGAUCCAGCCAUGCCGCGUGUGUGAAGAAGGCCUUCGGGUUGUAAAGCACUUUCAGUGGGGAGGAAAGGUUGCAGGUUAAUACCCUGUAGCUGUGACGUUACCCACAGAAGAAGCACCGGCUAACUCCGUGCCAGCAGCCGCGGUAAUACGGAGGGUGCAAGCGUUAAUCGGAAUUACUGGGCGUAAAGCGUGCGCAGGCGGUCUGUUAAGCGAGAUGUGAAAGCCCCGGCUGCAACCUCGGGAAGCUGCAUUUCGAACUUGGCAGACUAGAGUCUUG
Molecule: ribosomal RNA, 328 nt
Filed under: uncultured bacterium
Lineage: Bacteria
Description: bacterial SSU rRNA
Rfam family: Bacterial small subunit ribosomal RNA
Source: RNAcentral